CUCUCCUGCGUUCAUCGUCUAUAUUUCCUGGCGAGAAAAAUAUUAUCGAAGAGGUUGAUUUAGAAGAAACUUCAGUAAGAAUUUCUAAUCCAAAUAUUUGCAGCUGUAGACAUCUUGUAUGAAACGUGAAGUUUUUAUGAGUCCAAUUACAAAGCUUAAAAUUACAUGUUUCCCAACUUUUUCUCCGAACUUUUUCUCCGGCAAAUCAAGAAAAAGUGAAAGGCCCUAACAUGUUCAGACGUCACUGUCCCAUUCUUUUCAAAGUUUAAAGGACUGAAUUAGAUAACCGAAGUACUAACCAUUUAACUUCCAGUAAAAAAAUCUGUCUUGACCUUGUCAAAUAGUUCUAUCAAACUAAACAUAAACAGAGACAUGCAACCGAAAGAAGCAGAAAAUGCACACCAGACUUGACUUGAAUUUGUCCACAAAUUCGCUGUUCUUAAUCCCCUCAAGAAACUCACUCGAGCUCUUGUGCUCCAAUUUCCUCAGCCUGGACUUGAACGCUCUUAUCGGCUCCCAGAAUUCCUCAAACUGCCCUUCCUCUCUUUCCCUCUCCUUAAACCUCACCCUUCACCAACUCCUGAAAGUUUCCCUAUCGUGCUUCUCCUCCUCAUCGACCUCCGUAACAAUUGCCUUCUUAAUCUGCGACCGCGGGUACAACUUGAAGUCGGGAGACGAAUACGCCCUCCAAAAUUCGGACAAUCUUGGCUGAAGCUUUCUAACAAAGUCAAUUUCCGCUGGCGGAGUGUGAUUACGAGUAGCAGAGGCUGUAAUUGUAGGAACGCUGAAGGGUGAAUUCGAAGCCGAGUUGAGGAAAUUAGAGUGUGUUUGAUUGAAAUAGAAAAUAUUAGCUAGAAAUGAAAAUAUUUUUCAUUUUUUGUGGAAAAUAAAAAUUAUCUCUACCCAAGGAAAAUAUUUUUCUCAAAAACAAGGAAAAUUAG
This 941-nucleotide long non-coding RNA is filed under the name Olea europaea subsp. europaea. Lineage: Eukaryota; Viridiplantae; Streptophyta; Magnoliopsida; Lamiales; Oleaceae. The record is from RNAcentral.